AGAAACUGGCUGAGUUUCUAGAUUCAUGCAACUCACUGUGUCUGAGAGGAUUCUGACUAUGCCAGAAACUUUAGCCUGCCAGAAAAAAAGAAAAAUAUAAAAAUGUUACCUUAAGAAAAAUAAUUUUUUACCUUUUCCUUUGGUAUUUUUUUGCUAUAUCCUGGUAGCUGAUAUAGAAAGACCAGAUGAAGAUGGCAUAGAUUUAAUUUUAUAUUCACAUAGGAAUUAGGGCUUCUUCCCCCUCCAAAGUGACAGGAUGAUAGCUCAGCUGAAGUGCAUCUACACCAAUGCACACAGCAUGGACAACAAACAGGAGGAGAUGGAAACCACUGUGUUG
Non-coding RNA from Sturnus vulgaris (Common starling), 337 nucleotides. The record is from RefSeq and is a predicted model, not a curated record. NCBI's taxonomy places the organism in Eukaryota, Metazoa, Chordata, Aves, Passeriformes, Sturnidae.